Xiphophorus couchianus (Monterrey platyfish) is the source of this 254-nucleotide long non-coding RNA. RefSeq lists it as uncharacterized. The record is from RefSeq and is a predicted model, not a curated record. The transcript has 2 exons. Lineage: Eukaryota; Metazoa; Chordata; Actinopteri; Cyprinodontiformes; Poeciliidae.
CCCCCAUGCCUCCAGUGUGCUAUUUUCAGAGACAAGCAGCUCCUGCCUUCAGGGAGCCUUUCAGGGCGAACCGAGCCGCCUCUGAGCCCAAAUACAGCCCAGACAAUGACCAGACCAGUUUCAAAGAAAUGUGACCAGGAUGAUUUUUAUUCUGUCAUGGCAGCAUGUGUGGAAGAAAGUUGAAAAUUCCCCCAGCAGUAACUGGAAUUUAAGCACCUGUUGGAGAAAACGAAGGCCUCAAUCACGACAGUAAG